UAACAGGAUUAGAUACCCUGGUAGUCCACGCCGUAAACGAUGAUAACUAGCUGUCCGGGCACUUGGUGCUUGGGUGGCGCAGCUAACGCAUUAAGUUAUCCGCCUGGGGAGUACGGCCGCAAGGUUAAAACUCAAAGGAAUUGACGGGGGCCUGCACAAGCGGUGGAGCAUGUGGUUUAAUUCGAGGCAACGCGCAGAACCUUACCAGCGUUUGACAUGUCCGGACGAUUUCGGGAGACCGAUCUCUUCCCUUCGGGGACUGGAACACAGGUGCUGCAUGGCUGUCGUCAGCUCGUGUCGUGAGAUGUUGGGUUAAGUCCCGCAACGAGCGCAACCCUCGUCCUUAGUUGCCAUCAUUUAGUUGGGCACUCUAAGGAAACCGCCGGUGAUAAGCCGGAGGAAGGUGGGGAUGACGUCAAGUCCUCAUGGCCCUUACGCGCUGGGCUACACACGUGCUACAAUGGCGGUGACAGUGGGCAGCAAUCUCGCAAGGGUGAGCUAAUCUCCAAAAGCCGUCUCAGUUCGGAUUGUUCUCUGCAACUCGAGAGCAUGAAGGCGGAAUCGCUAGUAAUCGCGGAUCAGCAUGCCGCGGUGAAUACGUUCCCAGGCCUUGUACACACCGCCCGUCACACCAUGGGAGUUGGAUUCACCCGAAGGCAGUGCGCUAACCGCAAGGAGGCAGCUGACCACGGUGGGUUCAGCGACUGGGGUGAAGUCGUAACAAGGUAACCA
RNAcentral lists this ribosomal RNA (732 nucleotides) under uncultured Sphingomonas sp. Its description in RNAcentral is "bacterial SSU rRNA". It matches the Rfam family "Bacterial small subunit ribosomal RNA", at positions 770 to 1502 of the family's 1533-position model. Lineage: Bacteria; Pseudomonadati; Pseudomonadota; Alphaproteobacteria; Sphingomonadales; Sphingomonadaceae. The record is from RNAcentral.